GAUGGGCUGUGCAAAGGGCACGGCUGCUGAGGACAGGGCUGUGGCUGGAGAACCCGCUGCUUCCUGAAGCCCAGCCCCACCCUAAAGGACCGAGAGCACACGCCAUGGGAAAGGAACCGAGCAGGGGUGCAGAGCCUGGUGGCACUGUGCUGAGAGAGGAGGAGGCUGGGCAGGGCCCCAGUGCUGGAGAGGUGCCCUGCAUAUGGGACCUCUCAGAGGUGCAGAAGAGCUGUGUGCCCAGGUACCCCGUCUCUUCUCCUUCUCCAUCCCCCAGCCUACUCUCCUAAUGGUCUGUGUCUUUCAGGGAUGAGAUUUACUGCCAGAUCUGCAAGCAGCUCUCGGAGAACUUCAAAACAAGCAGCCUGGCCCGGGGCUGGAUCCUGCUCAGCCUCUGCCUCGGCUGCUUCCCACCCUCAGAGAGGUUCAUGAAGUAUCUACUGAACUUCAUCGGCCAAGGGCCGGCGACCUAUGGCCCCUUCUGUGCCGAGCGCCUGAGACGCACCUAUGCCAACGGGGUGCGUGCGGAGCCCCCCACCUGGCUGGAGCUGCAGGCUGUCAAGUCCAAGAAGCGCAUCCCCAUCCAAGUCAUCUUGGCCACUGGAGAAAGCCUAACCGUCCCCGUGGACUCAGCCUCCACAUCUCGGGAAAUGUGCGUGCACAUCGCUCACAAGCAGGGCCUCAGCGACCACCUGGGCUUCUCCCUCCAGGUCGCUGUGUACGACAAGUUCUGGUCCCUGGGCAGCGGGCGCGACCACAUGAUGGAUGCCAUCGCCCAGUGUGAGCAGCUGGCCCAGGAGAGGGGCGAGAGCCAGCGCCAGUCACCCUGGCGCAUCUACUUCCGGAAGGAAUUCUUCACCCCCUGGCACGACUCCCGGGAGGACCCCGUCAGCACCGAGCUUAUUUACCGCCAAGUCCUCCACGGAGUCUGGUCUGGCGAGUACAGCUUCGAGAAGGAGGAAGAGCUGGUUGAGCUGCUGGCCCGGCACUGCUACGUGCAGCUCGGCGCCUCAGCGGAGAGCAAGGCUGUCCAGGAGCUGCUGCCCAGCUGCAUCCCCCACAAGCUGUACAGGACCAAGCCCCCAGACAGGUGGGCGAGCCUCGUCACUGCCGCCUGCACCAAGGCCCCAUACACUCAGAGGCAAGCCACACCACUGGCCGUGAGAGAGCAGGUGGUGGAUGCCGCCCGCCUGCAGUGGCCGCUGCUCUUCUCCCGGCUCUUUGAAGUCAUCACACUCUCAGGCCCCCGCCUGCCCAAGACGCAGCUGAUCUUGGCUGUUAACUGGAAGGGGCUUUGCUUCCUGGACCAGCGGGAGAAGAUGCUGCUGGAACUCUCUUUCCCAGAGGUCAUGGGUCUGGCCACCAACAGGGAGGCCCAGGGCGGGCAGAGGCUGCUGCUCUCCACAAUGCAUGAGGAGUACGAGUUUGUGUCGCCCAGCAGUGUGGCCAUCGCUGAGCUGGUGGCCCUGCUUCUGGAGGGCCUGAAGGAGAGGUCCGUGUUCGCCAUGGCCCUGCAGGACAGGAAGGCCACAGAUGAUGCCACCCUCCUGGCCUUCAAGAAGGGGGACCUGUUGGUUUUGACAAAGAAGCAGGGGCUGCUGGCCUCUGAGAACUGGACCCUCGGCCAGAACGACAGGACAGGCAAGACGGGGCUGGUGCCCACGGCCUGCCUCUACACCAUCCCCACGGUCACUAAGCCCUCGGCACAGCUGCUGAGCUUGCUUGCCAUGUCACCAGAGAAGAGGAAGCUGGCGGCUCAGGAGGGGCAGUUCGCAGAGCCACGUCCUGAGGACCCACCCAAGGAAAAGCUGCACACCCUGGAGGAGUUCUCCUAUGAGUUCUUCAGGGCUCCAGAGAAGGAUAUAGUGAGCAUGGCCGUGCUGCCCCUGGCCCGUGCCCGCGGCCACCUGUGGGCCUAUUCCUCCGAGCCGCUGCGACAGCCGCUGCUCAAGCGAGUCCACGCCAACGUCGACCUCUGGGACAUCGCCUGCCAGAUCUUUGUCGCCAUCCUCCGGUACAUGGGCGACUACCCUUCUCGGCAGGCCUGGCCCACCCUGGAGCUCACCGACCAGAUCUUCACGCUGGCCCUGCAGCACCCGGCCCUGCAGGACGAGGUCUACUGCCAGAUCCUGAAGCAGCUGACGCACAACUCCAACAGGCACAGCGAGGAGCGGGGCUGGCAGCUGCUGUGGCUGUGCACGGGCCUCUUCCCGCCCAGCAAGGGGCUGCUGCCCCACGCCCAGAAGUUUAUAGACACUCGGAGGGGGAAGCUGCUGGCCGCCGACUGCAGCCGUCGCAUCCAGAGGGUCCUGAGGACAGGGCCCCGGAAGCAGCCCCCGCACCAGGUGGAGGUGGAGGCCGCGGAGCAGAACGUCUCCCGCAUCUGCCACAAGGUCUACUUCCCCAACGACACCAGCGAGAUGCUGGAGGUGGUUGCCAACACACGGGUGCGGGAUGUGUGUGACAGCAUUGCCACCAGGCUGCAGCUGGCCUCCUGGGAAGGCUGCAGCCUCUUCAUCAAGAUUGCAGACAAGGUGGGCUGGGCUGGGGCUGGGCAGACGGCAGGCGGGAGGCCAGUAAGCGGGGCCCUAGGUGCUGCCUGUGGGGGCCUCAGCCUACCAGGGGCACCCAUGCUGGAUCAGGCUGCACGGCCAGGGCUGCCGAGACGGAGGUAGGUGGGGUCCUGGAGCAGAGCCAGUGCCACACGCCAAUAGCCCAUGCACAGCCGACUCCAGCGCAGCACCCAGGCCGCAGGUGGCCACUGGACCAGAGCCCAGCAGGGCCCUCUCAGGAGGACAGUCCCCGGAAGCCACCCAACUUCCCUGUACCUUCUCCUUCCCCAGGUCAUCAGCCAGAAGGAGGGAGACUUCUUCUUUGAUUCCUUGAGGCAGGUGUCUGACUGGGUAAAGAAGAACAAGCCCCAGAAAGAAGGGGCCCCCGUGACGCUCCCCUACCAGGUGUACUUCAUGCGGAAAUUGUGGCUCAACAUAUCCCCGGGGAAGGAUGUGAAUGCGGACACCAUACUCCAUUACCACCAGGAGCUGCCCAAGUACCUGCGCGGAUUCCACAAGUGUUCGCGGGAGGACGCCAUCCACCUGGCGGGCCUCAUCUACAAGGCCCAGUUCGACAAUGACCGGUCCCAGCUGGCUAGUGUCCCCAAGAUCCUGAGGGAACUGGUGCCCGAGAACCUCACACGCCUGAUGUCCUCGGAGGAGUGGAAAAAGAGCAUCCUUCUGGCCUAUGAUAAGCACAAGGACAAGACAGUGGAGGAGACCAAGGUGGCCUUCCUGAAGUGGAUCUGCCGGUGGCCCACCUUCGGGUCUGCCUUCUUCGAGGUGAAGCAAACCUCGGAGCCCUCCUACCCAGACAUCAUCCUCAUCGCCAUCAACCGACAUGGGGUUCUGCUCAUCCACCCCAAGACCAAGGACCUGCUCACCACCUAUCCCUUCACCAAGAUCUCCAGCUGGAGCAGCGGCAGCACCUACUUCCACAUAGCACUGGGGAGCCUGGGCCGUGGCAGCCGCCUGCUGUGCGAGACCUCCCUGGUGAGCUCAGGUCCCUUCUCCCAGCCAAGAUGCAUAGGAUGCAGCUGCUGGAGACUGGGUUCCCCACCCUCACCCCUUUUCAGUCACAGGGCCCAGGCGGGGCCAGCAGAUCUGGAGAGGGACUGGGUGCAUCCCCAGGAUCAGCAACCAAGAUGGCAAGGCCAGGCGGGACCCCCUGCACCCCUGGCCCGUUCCGAGGAGGGAGGGAGACACAGCUCCAGCAGGGCAGGCAGAAAUGACGCCCCCAAUGGCAGGGGCCCGCCUUCCCUUUCUCCAUGCCCUGCAGGGAGAAGGUGGUCUUAGUUGCUGAGGAAGAGAAGGUGGUCCCUGAGUCCAGGAACCCCACCUGUCCUCUGCACCCACAGCCUCUGACCCACCCUGUCCCCUGUCCAGGGCUACAAGAUGGACGACCUGCUGGCCUCAUACGUGCAGCAGCUCCUGAGUGCCAUGAACAAGCAGCGGGGCUCCAAGGCCCCAGCCCUGGCCAGCACCUAGCAGCGGACGCUGGCGUGUCUGCUCAGGCGCCCUUCCCGACCUCUAUCCUGGCGGCACCUUCCCAGGCCCUCUCAGCCCAGGGCCUGUCCUCGGCAGGCAGCCUUCCAUGCUGCCCCCAUACAAAGCCCACUCAGCCCCGCAGGCGGCCCCCUCUGUCCUGGACGCUGCCCCGGGAGGCCCAAAGACGGGCCCAGAGUGGGGUCGGGAGUCUCGGACCCCCAGGCUGUUGGUGGAUGGCUGAGAGGACACCUCCCAACCCCACCCCACCAGAAUGUUCAAUAAAAACCCCUGGAGCAGG
RNAcentral lists this small RNA (4335 nucleotides) under Pongo abelii (Sumatran orangutan). RNAcentral's name for it is "retained intron". The record is from RNAcentral. Lineage: Eukaryota; Metazoa; Chordata; Mammalia; Primates; Hominidae.